GACGAACGCUGGCGGCGUGCUUAACACAUGCAAGUCGAACGGAAAGGCCCUGCUUUUGUGGGGUGCUCGAGUGGCGAACGGGUGAGUAACACGUGAGUAACCUGCCCUUGACUUUGGGAUAACUUCAGGAAACUGGGGCUAAUACCGGAUAGGAGCUCCUGCUGCAUGGUGGGGGUUGGAAAGUUUCGGCGGUUGGGGAUGGACUCGCGGCUUAUCAGCUUGUUGGUGGGGUAGUGGCUUACCAAGGCUUUGACGGGUAGCCGGCCUGAGAGGGGGACCGGCCACAUGGGGACUGAGAUACGGCCCAGACUCCUACGGGAGGCAGCAGUGGGGAAUAUUGCACAAUGGGCGGAAGCCUGAUGCAGCAACGCCGCGUGCGGGAUGACGGCCUUCGGGUUGUAAACCGCUUUCGCCUGUGACGAAGCGUGAGUGACGGUAAUGGGUAAAGAAGCACCGGCUAACUACGUG
RNAcentral lists this ribosomal RNA (468 nucleotides) under uncultured bacterium. RNAcentral's name for it is "partial 16S ribosomal RNA". It matches the Rfam family "Bacterial small subunit ribosomal RNA", at positions 28 to 507 of the family's 1533-position model. The record is from RNAcentral.